This is a long non-coding RNA of Cebus imitator (Panamanian white-faced capuchin), 284 nucleotides long. RefSeq lists it as uncharacterized. The transcript is spliced from 2 exons. The record is from RefSeq and is a predicted model, not a curated record. Lineage: Eukaryota; Metazoa; Chordata; Mammalia; Primates; Cebidae.
ACCAACAGAGCCCAGCAGGCUUUGCAACAAGGACACUUUAAGAGCACCUUCUCCCCCUGCGUAGACCGCAGGUCAGGUUGGCUGUUUUAGAGGACGGAAGUGCACAAAACAAGUGGCUGUUGGAAACAUCUUCAAAGAGGGAACGACCACAGAUGAAUGGACAGCACUAGAUACCGACCCCAACGGAAAUGUUAGCGGCCUUGUUUUCGGCUUUGAAAUAAAACUUUAUAAUCCCCAGGAAUAUUUAUAUCCAAAGGCCAAGUAUUAAAGAUACACUUCACAAA